AAUCAACGCUGGCGGCGUGCCUAACACAUGCAAGUCGAACGAGAAAGGGGACUUCGGUCCCUGAGUACAGUGGCGCACGGGUGAGUAACACGUGACUAACCUACCCUCGAGUGGGGAAUAACUUCGGGAAACCGAGGCUAAUACCGCAUAAUACCCACGGGUCAAAGGAGCAAUUCGCUUGAGGAGGGGGUCGCGGCCCGAUUAGUUAGUUGGCGGGGUAAUGGCCCCCACCAAGACGGUGAUCGGUAUCCGGCCUGAGAGGGCGCACGGACACACUGGAACUGAAACACGGUCCAGACUCCUACGGGAGGCAGCAGUGGGGAAUUUUGCGCAAUGGGGGAAACCCUGACGCAGCAACGCCGCGUGGAGGAUGAAGUCUCUUGGGACGUAAACUCCUUUCGAUCGGGACGAUUAUGACGGUACCGGAAGAAGAAGCCCCGGCUAACUUCGUG
This 452-nucleotide ribosomal RNA is filed under the name uncultured bacterium. RNAcentral describes it as "bacterial SSU rRNA". It matches the Rfam family "Bacterial small subunit ribosomal RNA", at positions 32 to 507 of the family's 1533-position model. The record is from RNAcentral.